Molecule: ribosomal RNA, 899 nt
Filed under: Pseudomonas sp.
Lineage: Bacteria; Pseudomonadati; Pseudomonadota; Gammaproteobacteria; Pseudomonadales; Pseudomonadaceae
Description: partial 16S ribosomal RNA
Rfam family: Bacterial small subunit ribosomal RNA
Source: RNAcentral
AGUCGNGCGGNNGACGGGNGCUUGCUCCUUGNNNNNNGGCGGANGGGUGAGUAAUGCCUAGGAAUCUGCCUGGUAGUGGGGGACAACGUUUCGAAAGGAACGCUAAUACCGCAUACGUCCUACGGGAGAAAGCAGGGGACCUUCGGGCCUUGCGCUAUCAGAUGAGCCUAGGUCGGAUUAGCUAGUAGGUGAGGUAAUGGCUCACCUAGGCGACGAUCCGUAACUGGUCUGAGAGGAUGAUCAGUCACACUGGAACUGAGACACGGUCCAGACUCCUACGGGAGGCAGCAGUGGGGAAUAUUGGACAAUGGGCGAAAGCCUGAUCCAGCCAUGCCGCGUGUGUGAAGAAGGUCUUCGGAUUGUAAAGCACUUUAAGUUGGGAGGAAGGGCAGUAAGCUAAUACCUUGCUGUUUUGACGUUACCGACAGAAUAAGCACCGGCUAACUCUGUGCCAGCAGCCGCGGUAAUACAGAGGGUGCAAGCGUUAAUCGGAAUUACUGGGCGUAAAGCGCGCGUAGGUGGUUCGUUAAGUUGGAUGUGAAAGCCCCGGGCUCAACCUGGGAACUGCAUCCAAAACUGGCGAGCUAGAGUAUGGUAGAGGGUGGUGGAAUUUCCUGUGUAGCGGUGAAAUGCGUAGAUAUAGGAAGGAACACCAGUGGCGAAGGCGACCACCUGGACUGAUACUGACACUGAGGUGCGAAAGCGUGGGGAGCAAACAGGAUUAGAUACNCUGGUAGUCCACGCCGUAAACGAUGUCAACNNUNAGCCGUUGGANUCCUUGAGNUUUUAGUGGCGCANCUNACGCAUUAANUUGANCGNCNGGGGAGUNCGGNNGNAAGGUUAAAACUNAAAUNAANUGACGGGGGCCCNNNCANGCGGUGGAGNAUGUGGUUUAAUUC